This 468-nucleotide ribosomal RNA is filed under the name uncultured bacterium. RNAcentral describes it as "partial 16S ribosomal RNA". It matches the Rfam family "Bacterial small subunit ribosomal RNA", at positions 28 to 507 of the family's 1533-position model. The record is from RNAcentral.
GACGAACGCUGGCGGCGUGCUUAACACAUGCAAGUCGAACGGAAAGGCCCUGCUUUUGUUGGUUGCUCGAUUGGCGAACGGGUGAGUAACACGUGAGUAACCUGCCCUUGACUUUGGGAUAACUUCAGGAAACUGGGGCGAAUACCGGAUAGGAGCUCCUGCUGCAUGUUGUGGGUUGGAAAGUUUCGGCGGUUGGGGCUGUACUCGCGGGUUAUCAGCUUGUUUGUGGGGUAGGUGCUUACCAAGGCUUUGACGGGUAGCCGGCCUGAGAGGGUGACCGGGGACCUUGGGCCUGAGAUACGGAGCAGAAUCCUACGGGCGGCAGCAGUGGGGAAUAUUGCACAAUGGGCGGAAGCCUGAUGCAGCAACGCCGCGUGCGGGAUGACGGCCUUCGGGUUGUAAACAGCUUUCGAAUGUGACGAAGCGUGAGUGACGGUAAUGGGUAAAGAAGCACCGGCUAACUACGUG